Molecule: ribosomal RNA, 746 nt
Filed under: uncultured bacterium
Lineage: Bacteria
Description: bacterial SSU rRNA
Rfam family: Bacterial small subunit ribosomal RNA
Source: RNAcentral
GGGUGAGUAACGCGUAUCCAACCUGCCCACCACUUGGGGAUAACCUUGCGAAAGUAAGACUAAUACCCAAUGAUAUCUCUAGAAGGCAUCUGAAAGAGAUUAAAGAUUUAUCGGUGAUGGAUGGGGAUGCGUCUGAUUAGCUUGUUGGCGGGGUAACGGCCCACCAAGGCAACGAUCAGUAGGGGUUCUGAGAGGAAGGUCCCCCACAUUGGAACUGAGACACGGUCCAAACUCCUACGGGAGGCAGCAGUGAGGAAUAUUGGUCAAUGGACGAGAGUCUGAACCAGCCAAGUAGCGUGCAGGAUGACGGCCCUAUGGGUUGUAAACUGCUUUUAUAAGGGAAUAAAGUGAGUCUCGUGAGACUUUUUGCAUGUACCUUAUGAAUAAGGACCGGCUAAUUCCAUGCCAGCAGCCGCGGUAAUACGGAAGGUCCGGGCGUUAUCCGGAUUUAUUGGGUUUAAAGGGAGCGUAGGCCGGAGAUUAAGCGUGUUGUGAAAUGUAGAUGCUCAACAUCUGAACUGCAGCGCGAACUGGUUUCCUUGAGUACGCACAAAGUGGGCGGAAUUCGUGGUGUAGCGGUGAAAUGCUUAGAUAUCACGAAGAACUCCGAUUGCGAAGGCAGCUCACUGGAGCGCAACUGACGCUGAAGCUCGAAAGUGCGGGUAUCGAACAGGAUUAGAUACCCUGGUAGUCCGCACGGUAAACGAUGGAUGCCCGCUGUUGGUCUGAAUAGGUCAGCGGCCAAG